RNAcentral lists this ribosomal RNA (253 nucleotides) under uncultured bacterium. Its description in RNAcentral is "partial 16S ribosomal RNA". It matches the Rfam family "Bacterial small subunit ribosomal RNA", at positions 524 to 776 of the family's 1533-position model. The record is from RNAcentral.
UACAGAGGGCGCGAGCGUUAAUCGGAAUUACUGGGCGUAAAGCGUGCGUAGACGGUAGCGUAAGUCAGAUGUGAAAGCCCCGGGCUCAACCUGGGAACUGCAUUUGAGACUGCUCUGCUCGGGUGCGGAAGAGGGAAGCGGAAUUUCCGGUGUAGCGGUGAAAUGCGUAGAUAUCGGAAGGGACACCAGUGGCGAAAGCGGCUUCCUGGUCCGACACCGACGUUCAGGCACGAAAGCGUGGGGAGCAAACAGG